GCUGGCGGCGUGCUUAACACAUGCAAGUCGAACGAUGAUCCUCACUUGUGGGGGGAUUAGUGGCGAACGGGUGAGUAACACGUGAGUAACCUGCCCUUGACUCUGGGAUAAGCCUGGGAAACCGGGUCUAAUACUGGAUAUGACCUUCUGGCGCAUGCCAUGUUGGUGGAAAGCUUUAUUGCGGUUUUGGAUGGACUCGCGGCCUAUCAGCUUGUUGGUGGGGUAAUGGCCUACCAAGGCGACGACGGGUAGCCGGCCUGAGAGGGUGGACGGCCACACUGGGACUGAGACACGGCCCAGACUCCUACGGGAGGCAGCAGUGGGGAAUAUUGCACAAUGGGCGCAAGCCUGAUGCAGCGACGCCGCGUGGGGGAUGAAGGCCUUCGGGUUGUAAACCUCUUUCAGUAGGGAAGAAGCGAAAGUGACGGUACCUGCAGAAGAAGCGCCGGCUAACUACGUGCCAGCAGCCGCGGUAAUACGUAGGGCGCAAGCGUUAUCCGGAAUUAUUGGGCGUAAAGAGCUCGUAGGCGGUUUGUCGCGUCUGCCGUGAAAGUCCGGGGCUUAACUCCGGAUCUGCGGUGGGUACGGGCAGACUAGAGUGAUGUAGGGGAGACUGGAAUUCCUGGUGUAGCGG
Molecule: ribosomal RNA, 634 nt
Filed under: Arthrobacter sp. CAL605
Lineage: Bacteria; Bacillati; Actinomycetota; Actinomycetes; Micrococcales; Micrococcaceae
Description: bacterial SSU rRNA
Rfam family: Bacterial small subunit ribosomal RNA
Source: RNAcentral